RNAcentral lists this ribosomal RNA (706 nucleotides) under Clostridioides difficile. Its description in RNAcentral is "bacterial LSU rRNA". It matches the Rfam family "Bacterial large subunit ribosomal RNA", at positions 58 to 768 of the family's 2925-position model. The record is from RNAcentral. Lineage: Bacteria; Bacillati; Bacillota; Clostridia; Peptostreptococcales; Peptostreptococcaceae.
GUGAUAAACUGCGAUAAGCUUCGGGGAGUUGCACGUAAACUUUGAUCCGAAGAUUUCCGAAUGAGGAAACUCACUUAGAGUAAUGUCUAAGUAUCAUUAAGUGAAUACAUAGCUUAAUGAGGGGAACUCAGGGAACUGAAACAUCUAAGUACCUGAAGGAAGAGAAAGAAAUUCGAUUCCGUAAGUAGCGGCGAGCGAACGCGGAUUAGCCCAAACCAAUAAAGUUUUCUUUGUUGGGGUUGCGGACAUAUCAUAACGAAGAGGUAUCGUAAUUGAAGAGGUUUGGAAAGACCCACCACAGAAGGUAAUAGUCCUGUAUGUUAAACGAGAAGACUUUAGAUAUGAUCCAGAGUACCACGGGACACGUGAAACCCUGUGGGAAGCAGGAGGGACCACCCUCCAAGGCUAAAUACUACCUAGUGACCGAUAGCGUAUAGUACCGUGAGGGAAAGGUGAAAAGAACCCCGGGAGGGGAGUGAAAUAGAACCUGAAACCCUGCACUUACAAGCUGUGGAAGCACAUUUCUUGUGUGACCGCGUACUUUUUGUAGAACGGGCCAACGAGUUACGUUAAGUAGCAAGGUUAAGCACUUAAGGUGCGGAGCCGUAGCGAAAGCGAGUUUUAACUGAGCGUUCAGUUACUUGACGUAGACCCGAAACCGGGCGACCUACCCAUGAGCAGGAUGAAGCGAAAGUAAAAUUUCGUG